UACGGAGGGUGCAAGCGUUAUCCGGAUUCACUGGGUUUAAAGGGUGCGUAGGCGGGCAGGUAAGUCCGUGGUGAAAUCUCUGAGCUUAACUCAGAAACUGCCAUGGAUACUAUUUGUCUUGAAUAUUGUGGAGGUAAGCGGAAUAUGUCAUGUAGCGGUGAAAUGCUUAGAUAUGACAUAGAACACCAAUUGCGAAGGCAGCUUACUACACAGUUAUUGACGCUGAGGCAACGAAAGCGUGGGGAUCAAACAGG
RNAcentral lists this ribosomal RNA (254 nucleotides) under uncultured bacterium. Its description in RNAcentral is "partial 16S ribosomal RNA". It matches the Rfam family "Bacterial small subunit ribosomal RNA", at positions 524 to 776 of the family's 1533-position model. The record is from RNAcentral.